GAUGAACGCUGGCGGCGUGCCUAAUACAUGCAAGUCGAGCGAACAGACGAGGAGCUUGCUCCUCUGACGUUAGCGGCGGACGGGUGAGUAACACGUGGAUAACCUACCUAUAAGACUGGGAUAACUUCGGGAAACCGGAGCUAAUACCGGAUAAUAUAUUGAACCGCAUGGUUCAAUAGUGAAAGACGGUUUUGCUGUCACUUAUAGAUGGAUCCGCGCCGCAUUAGCUAGUUGGUAAGGUAACGGCUUACCAAGGCAACGAUGCGUAGCCGACCUGAGAGGGUGAUCGGCCACACUGGAACUGAGACACGGUCCAGACUCCUACGGGAGGCAGCAGUAGGGAAUCUUCCGCAAUGGGCGAAAGCUUGACGGAGCAACGCCGCGUGAGUGAUGAAGGUCUUCGGAUCGUAAAACUCUGUUAUUAGGGAAGAACAAAUGUGUAAGUAACUAUGCACGUCUUGACGGUACCUAAUCAGAGAGCCACGGCUAACUACGUU
Molecule: ribosomal RNA, 497 nt
Filed under: uncultured bacterium
Lineage: Bacteria
Description: partial 16S ribosomal RNA
Rfam family: Bacterial small subunit ribosomal RNA
Source: RNAcentral